UGAACUAUUGUAUUCACUUUU
This 21-nucleotide small nuclear RNA is filed under the name Arabidopsis thaliana (thale cress). RNAcentral's name for it is "snRNA_12338". The record is from RNAcentral. Lineage: Eukaryota; Viridiplantae; Streptophyta; Magnoliopsida; Brassicales; Brassicaceae.